This 3306-nucleotide long non-coding RNA is filed under the name Pan troglodytes (chimpanzee). Its description in RNAcentral is "long non-coding RNA NONPTRT010728". Lineage: Eukaryota; Metazoa; Chordata; Mammalia; Primates; Hominidae. The record is from RNAcentral.
CCUGACUUCCUCCAUCCUGUCCAGCAGGAUGGGCUGGGAAGUGGGAAAGCCUGUGUGCACAUUUCGUGGCAAGUAGGAGUGACACACCAUACCUUGGAGGCACCUGCCAAACCCAACCCCAGAAGUCUCCCUGAGGUGGUUUUACCAAACCCAUAACCCACAACUGUGAUUGUGGUUUGGGGGUCAGCACCCGCUAAUGCCAGGGCACUACUGGGAAGCUGGGACCUGACCAAUGCCCAUGGUGUCUGUGGCCUGAGGACAGGGUGUCUUGGGGCCAUGAGGACAGGCCACCAAUGGCCAUUGGGUCAUACGGCCUGAGCCCCAGUGUUUUUCCUUCCCUGGCUUCUUCUGGUUCAGUCCCAUCAGAGCCCUAGAGCCCAAGAUGCAGCAUCCAAGGUUCCCUCCAGAAAUCCUGGUGGCUUGACUUAUUUUGUCAUGUUUCAUCUGAUAACAAAAAUAUCAUAUUAGCUGCACAGAAAAAUGGCUCAAAGUGCUUACUGACUAGAAGAAAUCGAGGAGCAGCAAGAAGGUAAUGUGGAGAGGGGAGGACCUCCAUGACCGGUGUCUGCAGAGCCAGGGGUACAGGCACCCAGUGCAGUGACCUGGCACCACCUGCCUCUCAGAGGGUGGGUAGCACACUGUCCUUACCUGGGGGACAGCAGGCCUGGCCACUGGCUUUUCUCCCUGUCCCUGCAAGCAUCACAUUGCUGGAAGAGAAUUUCAUGCCAGAGCUUGGACCGUCCCUAGCUUGGGAGUUACGGGUUGUCUCUUGGUGACCUAAAUGAAAAAAUAGGUCCAGAACAGAGUUCCUGAUGCUGGGCACUCAUCCACUCUUUGAAUCAUGGGAGGGGAGGCCUAGUCCUAGGUAAACCUAACCUCUUUGAGGAACCACAGUGCCCAAGGCUGGAAACCUCCAGAAUCCUCCCGCCCCCGAUCCUCCCCAGGGACCCCUGUGGCCUGUCUCACCAGAGCAUUCUUCCAUCCGUAGAUGUUUCAUCUGCUCUACAAGGGAGUCCCAUUUCAGGUGUGGGGCUGGGCAUGGUCACUCCUGCUGGAUGUCUGGAAGGUGAAAACCAAGGACCUAGGGAAAUACCAGGUACAGCCUUUCCACCCUCAUCCAGAGCAGGACAAACAGGCCAGGUGGUAUCAGGAGCCCAGGUCUCCAGCUGGAGGGAAUGUCAACCCUGCAGUGGGAGUCCAUCACGCAUCCUAGGCACAGAUGCUAAUGUAGGCACCGCGGACCAUAAAGGAAAACAGCAAGAGGUCCCCAGCAAACAUCUACAGAUGGCCCUGGACAUCAGCCACAUUCUGAGAAACAUGUCAUGUUCUGGGAGGGCUAAGGCAUCAAGAAUCCCAGUGAAUAUAUUGCCACCAUCUUGGAGCUCAGUGCCCUCAUAGUGUAACAGCACCAGCAGAUCUGCCUGUGCACAGACUUCCUGUACUACCUCACUUCUGAGGGGAGAUGCUUCUGCAGGGCCUGCGACCUGGGGCACAACUUUAGACACCAUCAUCCUGGAGCGGCACUGCACCCUUACUAGCCAGGGUGUUGACUUCCUCAAUGCCAAGGCCACGUUCAAGAUUUUCGACUUCAGUGAUGCGUUUGUGCUGAGCAAGGUGGGCUUCUCCGGGAUCUUAAUUCAAGAGGUAGAAUGCAGCUUGAGAUCUAGUGUCUGAUCGAAGAACUUGAACUUGACCUGGAGGGCUCUGGGGAGCCAUGGAAGGUGCUGGAUAAAGGAGGGACAGUCAUAUAUGUUUUAGAGAUGACUGUGAAAGGCUGCCUGGAAGGAGUGAACAAGAGCCAGGAGACCAGGGAGGGAGUUUGUGGGGCAGGUCUGGAGAUGGCAAGGGAGGGAUCCUGCUUGGAUGAAAGGACUUCAGGGACUGUCUCAGGUUACACUCAGGUGUCCUCAGAGCUAGUGUGUUCAGGGGUCUUGCCUCCAGGAUGAAAAUGAGAAGGAGUUGUCAGACAAGAACAUAUAAAUGAAGGCUGGCAUCUUCGUGAGUGCCAAUCGUUGUCCUGGUGUGGACUACUGUGGGAAUAGGGGUCUCUCCAUCCAGAGACAUGGUGGAUGGACCCUACAUCACUCCCUUCUGCCCUUCCUUUCCCUCCCAUUCUGAGGGCCUCAGUGCAUGGGCGCUGUCCAACCUCUGGUGCUGAAGCAGCCGAGAGACCCAAGCCUGCCACUCAGGAUAUGACAGCACAGCCAGUGGCCUCUACUGGAUCCUGUACAACCUCAGAAGACACCCAGACACUGGGAGUGCUGCCACCAUGUGGUGCAAGAGUUCUGAGGGACCGCAAUUCUGAAGACAUUGAAUGGUGGGUGCCAGGCCUCGUGGCUGUUCCCCAGCCCCUCUCAUAGGCUCUGCUCCAGGUGGUGAAGGGGGAUGACGUCUCUGUCAAUUCUGCCAUGAUUGCCUAGCAGGAAAAGGAGCAGAGCCCAGAAGCAGGGCCUGGUACCCAGCCUGCCUAACAAGGGAGAAUUUGUAGGCUUUGUGGACAGAAAGAUCUGGGAGUCCAUAUCACCCACUAACUUGCUAAGACAUUAGUAAAAUCAGUUUUCUUUUCUGAGCUAUGUUUCUGUCAUUUGUAAAUUGAGAGGAAUUUCUUUUACACCACGAGGCUGCUUGGAGAAUUAGUGACAGUGUGUGUAGAGCAGGUGCCACGCAGCAGGCAUUUGGUGUCCAGACCACUCCUCUUCCGCCUUCAUUUUCAGCCUAAAUUUGCAUUUUGUUCUUAAGACUUUCACUCCCCUUAAUUUUGCUCUUUCCUCUGAUUCCCAGCUUAUCAUCUAUCCCAUGGAGUCACUAGGAUCUAUGUGGGUAACAGUCAUGUAUGCAUUUAUGUGUAUAUACAUAUAUACUUUGUUGGUGUUGGAGUGCGGUGUGGGAAUGUGUGUGUGUUUGUGUGUUGGAGUCACUGCAUGACUGAAACUGUGCACACCAGGCUGUGUUUUUGCUCAUUGCUGGAGGUGCUGUCAGGGGCCUUGCCGUCAACCCCAGGUCUGACCCUUGCAGUGCAGGCAGGACAUUCUGGAGCAAUCAUGACCUUGGAAGGAUCCCCAAGGAGUGACUGGUGGGUAUUGGUGGAUAAAUACCCCAGUUCCCUUGUUCUGGGUAUGAUGACUCUGAGGCACAUGUUCUAUGCGUCUCUCAGAGGUACCUGGCAGGGCUGAGUCCUGGCUGCCACAGUGGAAACUUUCUUGAUGAAAGUCCCUUUAACUGCUGCAUUCCUUUCCUAUCUCUGUUCCCCACUCCUCUACUGGUGUUUCCUGGGAUUAGCACCCUAAGGAAGAACUGGCAGUCAAA